UACGGGGGGGGCAAGCGUUGUUCGGAAUUACUGGGCGUAAAGGGUUUGUAGGUGGCCGGCUAAGUCAGACGUGAAAUCCCUCAGCUUAACUGGGGAACUGCGUCUGAAACUGAUCGGCUCGAGUGCAGGAGAGGAACGCGGAAUUCCAGGUGUAGCGGUGAAAUGCGUAGAUAUCUGGAGGAACACCGGUGGCGAAGGCGGCAUUCUGGACCGACAUUGACGCUGAGGAGCGAAAGCCAGGGGAGCAAACGGG
This 253-nucleotide ribosomal RNA is filed under the name uncultured bacterium. RNAcentral describes it as "partial 16S ribosomal RNA". It matches the Rfam family "Bacterial small subunit ribosomal RNA", at positions 524 to 776 of the family's 1533-position model. The record is from RNAcentral.